This 22152-nucleotide long non-coding RNA is filed under the name Gallus gallus (chicken). RNAcentral's name for it is "lncRNA (ENSGALG00010018407.1)". The record is from RNAcentral. Lineage: Eukaryota; Metazoa; Chordata; Aves; Galliformes; Phasianidae.
UCUCUCUCUUCUUUUAUUUUUUUUAUUUGUUUUUUGUUCUGUAGACCAUAAAAGCAUCUGACACAAACAAACAAACAAAAAAACUGCUACAAAUGCAGUAUUUGUUACAUUGAAAGAAACUUUACAAACCUAACAUGAAAACAAACCCAAAAAUAAUAGUAAAUCAUAUUGUAUGCUCUUUUCCAUUGCUGCCUUUACAUGAUUUGAAACCUGAUGAAGAGCUUAUUUGCCUUAAAGCUUGUUUUUUACCAACUGUAUCAGUUAAUCUAAUAAAAGAUAAUGACUAUACAAACUCUCUCCUCACAUACAUUUCACAGAGUCUAGAUAGAGGGGAAAAAAUUAAGUUUGAAAACCCUACUUGUGCAGUCCCAUUGAAAGGACAACGAAUUUGUCUGGAUGCAAUAUGUAAUAAAUAACCCUAUGGGAAAAAAACAAAACAACAAAAAAAAAAAAGCAGAAACUCUCACAGCAUGUGCUUUACAAACUUGAAUAACUUGGACAUUUAAAUUGUUUUGUUUGGUCUCUUGCAUAUGGCAAAAUGGCCCAAUUGAUGCACUAAGUACCAUCAGUAUUUCAUUUUUAAGAAUUUAUCUGUUCUCCCUCCCCCUCCCCAUGAUGAUGGAGGAUAGGAUCAGUUUAGUAUCUGGAUCGCUGGCAGUGCACUUGAGUGCUGGUGAGUCAGCUAGAUGGGAAUGCUCCCUCUGAGUCAGUGCGGAGCCAGCCUCCCAGCAUGGUGCUUGGGGACACUCUGGUGCUUGAGCUGCAAUCAUUUAGAUCAGAGAAAACCAAAGCCCUGAACAGUUGCGGUCACUUGAGAUCAGAUGGAAAAAAACAGAGAGAUUAUGCCAGUAUCCUCAGCAAACUCAAAAGAAGACAAGAAUUGCACUAGGCCAGAUCUGCUCGCACUCUGCCAGGAAUCUUGGAGAUCCCAGGCUGCAACAAUUUUAUAGAAUGAUUGUGUCCCAUGUUGGUUGGAGAGGAAGUGAUUUUCAGCUCAUAAAUUCAAUAUGAUUUUGGACUCCUUUGAGAAAUCCAAGCAAAAAUUUCUUCAGAAAGUCAUGUUUAAAAUAGUUUGUUCCACCUGUGCAUUGGAAAGGUAAGCAUAAAUAUGCUGUAAAUUGAGCUGUAUGGGGUGCAGGGUUUUAAUGCUGUUGCAACUCUUGAUUUCCCUAAAAGGACUUCAACUUUGAAAUUUGAAGGAAAAACUUGUAAAAUCGGUGAAUAUGCUGAACCAAGCAUAUUUACAUUCUGCAAUAUACAUUCAGGAUGAGAAGGUAUUGAAAGCAGAAGAAUAAACCUGUGAGUUUCAUUCCAUGUGCAGCGUUCCUGCCUGUAUCAUAUAACAUGUGUUCUCAGGCAAUCAGAGGGUGAACACUGAGCAUGUCAUAUAUGUAAGAUAUUGUGGUGGCAUUAGCUGUGGUUCAAAGAACAGCCAGAAGUCUGUCAGUCAAUAGCCAAAGGGUAAUACAUACUCACCUUUCUUGGAAAGAGAUAAGGUACUGGGAUUGUAGCAGCUCAGUAUACAGAAGCAAACAGGAAGGGAUUAAAAAAAAACAAAACAAAGCUACCUAAAACAAGUGAUAACAUCACUUUUUUUUUUUUUUUUUUUUUUUUUACUGACAGCUUUAAAAAUCACUUAAGAUCCACAUAAAAGUACAAUAUGUAGGAUUCAAAUAAACACAAAUGGCCUACUAAUGCACUAGCAUGUAUGUAAUUAUUUUAAAAUCUGGUUGCACAACAAUGAACUCUGCUUUUCAUCUUAAUCGCAUUGAGGAAAGAGAUUUCUGUGGUCUUGGUAAAAUGCAAUCCACGCCAGGCUUGGACUAGUCUGGCCACCCAGGUUUGCCUUUUCAUAUAUCUGAUAGAUGUGUUUUGACAAGUUAUAUUAAGUACAAAGCAGGCCACCAGAGCAGCAUGUGGAGUUGAUAUAGACAGAGACAGAAAGGCAAAUAACAUGAACACACUUUUGUAGGCAAUAUUUGCCAUAACUGAGUACCCCCCAUACCUCAUAUUACCACAUUUCAGUAUAUAAAGAAAAAAGUUAUGCAAUAACCAAGACAUGAAAACUUUAAAACGACAACACUUUAAACAGGAUUUACAGAUCUUACAUGUCCCUUAUCUAAGACAAUAUUUUAAUUUGGUUUUUAAGAACUGAAUUAUCCGUCCUUUUAUAACUUUCAUUUUAUACUGUCUUGAUUAAGGGAAAUGUUGAUAUCUCUAUUAUCACCCAAUUCUUGCCUUCCAUCGAUACCAGCACGCCUUUCAUUUAGGCACUCCCUCUGGACACUCAUGCAGAAACUUAAGGGGGAAAUGGGGGGGGGGGGGGGGAGGGAAGGGGUUGGAGAUUUCUGGCACCUGAACUGUAUGCCCUUUUCUUUCACAACCAUCUUGAGUACAUCACCGUCACCCUCCAGAGAGCUCCUAAACAAGUUUUGGCAAUAGUAAAAACAAACGCUAUUUUACAUCUUUGGAUGCACUUCCAAAAUGCAAAACUAAUUAAUCAGUAGUCUCCGAGAGACUCAGCUAAAUGUGGCUGCCUCUUUGACACUGAUCUCUGCUUUGAUGUGAAUAUAGAAAGCAUGUGAGCAACUCCCCUAAAAGACAUAAUGGGUUUCAAUUAUUUAUUUGUUUAGAAGACAGAGUAGUAGAAGGUUAGCAGUAAAUACAUAGCUAAUCCUGCUUAGGCCCUCCCAGCAGUGAGGGUGUUUAACUCCCUGCUUUCCUAUACAGUUUCUGUACAGGAUGCGGUAAGAUGCCUUUCUUUGGCUGUCAUUGUGCCAAGUUCUUUACAAAGCGGAAUAUACUAAAAGGACAUGUAUACUGUCAAGCCACACAUAAAGACUGUUAUUUUUAAUUAUUCAUUAUCAACACUAGAGAGCUGCUAGCUCAACAUAUAGGCCUUUCCCUUUGCUGCAUUUAACUGUCAUUGGUUUUCAAGUCAAGAGUGUGUAUUCUAAACGUUAGCUAGUCAUUAGCAUCAUAUUCUCCAGACACAAUAUAAUCAUCCUAAUAAUUGAUUGUAGUGAAGGUAGUCACUUGUAUCCCACACAAUUCUCAGCCAUGAACUUUGUGCUCGGUAGUUUAUUACUCACAGAGAAACAUCUUGAUGCUAUAAUCUAUCUUCCUCACGAAUUUACAUCAAAGGGCAAAAAGAUACAUACUGCUAUAUUGCUCCUUCAAAACAUAGCACUUGUAUGAUGCUGUAAAAGCACCUACUUUUUCUGAAAAGCAUAUUAUUAGUAAAUGUGAAAUUAAAAAAAAAAAAAAAACCAGCAACAACAAAACAACAAAAAAACACCCACUAAGUAAAAGCUUUCCUCAUAAAGGUUAUGCAUACACGGAGAGAGAAAGAAUGCAAGAUUUUUCUUUGAAAAUAAAACCUGCUAAAUUAUAGUGGGAAGCCUUUUGUGUCACAAACAAAAGGAAUAUAUUGAUAGCAGGCUAAGAGAAGCUGCCAAUAGAAGUGGGAAAAAAUCUACAAUACUUAUAUGAUAGAUACCUUAGAAAAAUGCCUGCUUUCCUUGUUGACCAGACCAAUUCAAAAUCAUUUCACAUUCUUAAAUCAUUUAUUAGUUGCAUAAUUUCUCUCUCCCCCUUCACAGACAUGUGUAGCACAAUAUGUAGAAGGUUUUGAAGAUUUCAGAUGUUUAUUUAUACUAGGUCUAAAUCUGAUUUUACUACAGACAUUCACUGAACCUAAAUAUAGUUCUUCAAAGGUGAAAAUGCGAAGGGACAAAAAUAAGUCUCUGAAAUAUUUAUAAAGAUAUGAAGGAAAAAAGUAUAUAAAUGGUAAAUAGUAGUUAAUUGUAAACUGAUUCUUAUCCAAUCCUGCUAUCCUCAGUCACAAAACUGAUAUUUCUCCUCUGGAAGAUAAAAUGGGAUUUUUCCAUACAUACAUAAGUUUGUAUCUGUGCACAAAGCUCUUGUGACAGCAGUAAUUAAUCAUCUACUUUGAUAUAAUAAAUCAAUAUCUUAAAAUUUGGGGAGACUCAUUUUCAUCUGUACUUUGCUCAUAUAUUUUUUUGCAAUUUUGAGUUGCUGCUCUGUUUUUCAAGGCAAUGCACAACAGUAUAAUGAUACUUAGUCGACUCUUUAAAGAUAUUAGAAUACCUUGUACCAAACACUGAAUUAUUUAGAAUCAGGAGUGAUAUGUGAUUUUGUGAUUUCUUGCUUACUUGUCUGAUUCGUAACAAAAACUUUUAAAAUCAAAUAUCUUCCCAAAGUUAUCCUGGCAGUGUUUUGUGCCAAGCAUAACAGUAUGAUAUAGCCUUGUGAGGGAAAAGCCUUUCUGUAUCUAAAACAGAAGAUGACUAAUUUAUAUAUGCUGAACUGGAAGGUCCUAAAUUUGCAGGCAUAUUUUGCAUGUAUGGGCUUGACUUUUGUGUUAUUGUCUGCUUUAUAUUCUUCUAGCUGUAGAAUGAUGUGAGGAGGUCCCAGUUUAUAUUUCAUUACUGUCACUACAGGACUUAAAACAAAUGGAUGUGAGGAUGUAAGACUGCAGAUCAGUAAGUGUGCAUUUUAUAGCAAAUCACCUUACUAAUCCAGUUACUUAUUGUCUCCCAUUCCAUGUUCUCUAGUGGAAUAAUAAUUAUAGAAUUAAUCACAUAAUGGCUAAGAUUGGAAGGGAUGUUAAACAUCAUGUAGUUGCAACCCCUGCCAUGAUCAGGGCUGCCACCCACCAGAUCAGCUGCUCAGGAUCCCAUCCAAUCUGGCCUUGAAUGUCUCCAGGGAUGGAGCAUCCACAACCUCUUUGGUUGUGUCUAGUGCCUCACCACCCUCUGAGUAAAGAAUUUCUGCUUAACAUCUAACCUAAAUCUCCCCUCUUUAAAUCUGAAGCCAUUUCCCCUUGUUCUGUCACACAAGAUAGACCACUGAGCAGCUCCACCCAUGACCUGCCACCUGAACACAGCAACAUUAACAACAACCCUCUGCAUGUGACCAUCCAAAGAAUUCUUAAUUCACCAGAGUACACCCGUCAAAUCUAUAUAAUUAUGAGAUAAGAAUGUGAUGUGGAACCAUACCAAAGGCUUUACACAAGUCCAUGUAGCAGACAUCAGUUGCACUUCUUUUUCUCACCAAUGCUGUCACUCCAUCAUGUAAGGCCACCAGAUUUGUCUGGCACCAUCUGCCCAUGGUGAAGCUGUGCUGGCUGUCUCAGAUCACCUCCUCAACUCACAUGUGCCUGUGACAUAGCUUCUAAAAUCUUCUCCUCAUGAUCUUCCCUGGAACAGAGAUUAGGCUCACUAGCUUGUAGUUCCCCAGGUCUUCCUUUCUCCCUUUUGUGAAAAUGGGAGUGAUGCUUCCUUUUUUUUUUUCAGUCACUAAGUACUUUGCCUUACAGCCAUGACUUUUCAAAUAUGAUGGAGAGUGCCUUGGCAACCAUAUCAUCCAGUUCCAUCAGGUCCCUGGGGUACAUGCCAUUCAGUCCCAUAGACUUACACACAUUCAGUCUUAUGAGGUAAUCUUUGACUUCCUAUUGCUUGGAUAUUGCUACCCCAACCCCUGCCUAGAGAUUCAGGAAUGUAAGAGGCAUGGGAAGCCUGACUGACUGGGAAGACUGAGGCAAAGAACUCACUUUGGCUUUCCUGAUGGUUGAAACUCUGCAUGUUCAGAUGUCAUCCCUGUUUUCUUCCUAGGCCGUGUGUCCCUGCUUCCACUGCCUGUUCUUUUCCUUUAUUUCCUUGAGUUUGUCCAGCAGAUUCUUGCUUAGUUAUACCAGUUUCCAGCCUUCUCUGCUUGAUUUCUUACGCUCGGGAGUGCAGAGCUUUUGUCCUCUCAGAAAGAUGUCUUCAAAGAGAUGCCACCUCUAUUCCAUUACUAUGUCUUUAAGGACAGUCUUCCAGGGGAUCCAAUUUAAUAAUUCCUUAAAAAGCCAGGAGUUCACUCUCCUGAAGUUCUACAUUCUGACUCUGCUUUUUGCCAGGGCCAUAUUCCCUAAGAUUGUGAACUCAUUUAGGGUAUGGUCGCUACAAUCCAGAGUGCCUUCGAUCAAAACUUCUUUAAUGAUCUCCUUCAAUAAUCAUGUCUAUCAAAAUACCCAUAUAAUUUGACUGUAUGGAAAGGUGUGAGAAUAAAAUCCAGGUCUUGUACAAAAUAAAAUGAAGGACCAUUACUUAUUUAACCUUGACAGCGCCGUUUGAUGUGACUAUCAAUACCUAUGCUUAACUUAACAUGUAAGCUAGACAAAAGAACUGAUGGAACUGAAAAGAUUUCACAGAGAAGGAUUACUUGGAAAUUAAUCUGCUUUGUUUUUUUCUAUUUAUUUAUUUUUUAAUUAGAGGAAGUUCUGUAGUCAACGAAAAUUUUCAGAAGUCAUCUGGGUCUCGUAGUGACAAGAGCUACAGAAAGACCCAGCAGAACAAGGAGGAGAUAAUUAGUAGCCAGUUCAGUCUAGUUUUUGUACCAAGGACUCAUAAUCCAUGAAACACUGGAGAAAAGCAUUAGUGUUUAAGAUAGCUGUGGCUGAGCCAUGAUCAUGAAAAUAAUAACUUUCCUUUAAGAUAGGAGACUCAAAUUAGAAAAAAAAAAAAAAAAAAAAGGUGAUAUUUUCUCUUGUUCUGUGAAAGUGAAUAAAAAAACUUGAUUUUAUCAAAAUUUUUGUUUAUUAUUUAUCUUGCAUUACAUCCUUAACUAAUUAUUCAAACACCACUCCAAUUUUUUGCACAAAACCUUAGUAAGUUUAUAAGCUGUACAAUUUCUAUCUUCUAAACUAUUCACUAGAAACUUUAACAUAGAAACCAUGAGGAUGCUCAACAUUACACAUUACUUUUUGAAGUUGUCAUUCAUACCAGAUACAACUCAAACAAAACUACUCACAGCUAUUUGUAGUCAGUUUUUCAAUAGCAAUGAAUAGAUUUAUUUCUACUUUCUUCUUGUAGAAAAAGAAAUGCUUCUAAGAGAUGUUACUCAGAAACAAAGGAGAAUUGGGGAGCCUAAUGAACUCAGUGAGCUUUAACUCUCAUUUCUAUUAACAUUUUCAUCUUUGAGGGAGCAAAUAUAUCUUCAAAUUAAUGAAAUCUGUAAGAAGAAAUAGUAUGAAGUAGAUUAGCACUUUGCAGAUAAACUAGCAUUUUAUCAACUAUAGUGUUAAUUUGCGGUAUAGAUCUUCAAAUACAUUUCAUAUUCUUUUUGAGGCAUUCUAAAGCAUUUUGCAUUUUUCUGCUCAUAAUUUUUAUUUAUUUAUUUAUUUAUUGGAAAUAUGAUUAACUAACAUUGUUCAAGGACCUGGUCAGUUUCUGUUACAUUAAUUCUCAUGUGGCUAGCUGGAAUCUUUGACAACUCCUUAGUCUUACUAUACAACUCUUAGUCCACAUGUUUUUGAAGACAUCUGGAAGAGUGUCAAUUUUCUAGACUUGACAGUAGAACAAACUUCUAAAUCUUUUUGUUGUAUACCUUUAGAUUUUCCUCUCUUCUGUGUAAACUGAAUAUAGGAAAGUACAUUUCAGAAUUCCAUCCCAAGGAGCUCUUUUUCAGUGAAUGUCUUGUUCACCAUUUCACUAAUCCAUCCUUUUCAUGCAAACAUAUAACAUUCAUGCAGUGUACAAACAUUACCCUGAUGUGACAAUUUUUUUUAACUAGUAAGUAGUUUAUAACUCAGAUGUAAUUAAUGAUUAAAUAUUCAAUGAAAAGGUAAAGAAAUUUGGCCUGAGUAGUCCCAGUGCUUGCUGAAUUCAUUUGCUCCUACUUGUGCUUGUUGUGUGGAAUAUUUAGUAGUCUUCAGCACAAAAAAUCUUUGUUCAGUCAAGGGAAUGUAAAUAUUUGCUUAUUCUUUACAAAAGAAUAAGGUCAAGUUUUACUAAAUUGCCCAUAUCACAUUUUUCAAUACUAGAAAUUUAUCAACAGCUUACAUUUUUUGUUGUAAAGGAAUAUUCAUUUAUCCACAAUAAAUAUAUUUAAUAAGUGACUGUCUAGCAUAAUAAUCCUCUUGCUUUCUACUUUUGUCACAGUGUGUAGUGUUUCACAGUGUGAACAGCAAUAAUGAUCAUGUGUUCAUAUGAGUAGAUUCAUUUUGGCAAGUCUUGUUAGUUGACAGGUAUGUAAUACACUUGCCUUGCGGCUUUGGGACCAGGUUUCAAAUACAGCCUUCACUGAAGUGACUGAAAAUCAUUCAGAUCUCAUAACUGUAUCAAGUGACAAGUAACGUGAAUUCAGUCAGUAUGUAUAUGGGACCUGAUGUACACUAUCCAGUCAAAAAUGCUUCCCUUUAUUCAGUUGCACUAUUAUGUCUGACCAUCAGAAAGAAGAUACUUAAGGGAAGGGAUUAAGGCCAGCAACACAAACCUAUCUUUCCAAAUAUAUUCAUGUCUUCCAACAAGACAUUUAUGUGCCCAACAGCUGUUUCCUUGGUUUUUGUACUCUUUGUCCACUCAAGGAACUCAAGUCCCUCGCAUAUAUAAUAAGGGCACUGUACUAAUUGUCAACAUUAACUGCCAAAAGCAGAAAUUCUAUCAAGUUGAUGUUGACUCAUACAUGAACUUGUCCUGAUUCGGCUACUCUUUAACGCUGCUGGACACCUCUCACUGAUAAUGUUUUCACUACUCACCAAAGAGUGCCAAAUGUUGGCAUCUCAUUCAUGCUUGUCAUUGCCAUGAUAUCACACAUUACCGUCUAAGAGGAAACAAGGUUUCACUGUAGUCUUUAUUAUAUCACAUACAAGAAACAUUUCAGUCAUGUGAAUUCAUGGUUAGAAAAGGAAAAUGGAAAUUAUAUCCAGCACAGCUAGUGGUCCUGAUGUCUCUAGGUAUUUCAUUCUAGUUUUUAUUUUUUAUCCCACCUUUAUACAGUAUAAAAUAACAAAUAACCUUAGGUCUAAUACUUAAAUGCUUAUUGGGCACUUAGAGAAAUUCAGCUGGUUUUGAAUGUUUUUAUCCAUAGGCACAAUGUACAGUGGAAAAUGAAUUGCAAGUAUGUUGAUUUUACUGUAAGUAGCUCAGAAGUCAUUUGUUUUCCCCCCUAAGUAAGAAAGUUUUACAUAGGUGGAGAGUCUUCUAGCUUAAAGAGGAAGGAAAUUCUAUGUAUUUUCACCUACUGGCAUGAUUAUAAUACAUGGUUACUAGCAUGGAUGGAGACGAUUGCUCCUAGCAAUUUUUUUAAUAAGCAAUUACAUAAUCUGUAGAUGAAAUAAAUCAACUAGUGCAAUUACACUUACUUGAUGAUUGCUAAGUGGUUAGGGUUGGUAUCAUGGACAUCGCUGCUGGUAACAUCACAAUUGUAUCAUUCAGACAAAUUCCAGAUAAAACAGAUUUUCUUCAGAAACAUGUUUCUGAAUAAGCUACACACAAGAGAAAAAAAAAUAGCUAUCAAAUAAAAAUACACUGUAGUGCAGUCACUUCACCUGCUUUCCAUGCUGAGUUGCUCAAGACACAAUUUUAGGGAAACUGUAGGAUGUCUAGUCCUCGUGUUGAUAGCUUGUGUGUAAGCACAUGAGAAUCAUGUGUAUUCACUGCGACCUGUAAAAAAAUUCCUUUACAUUACAUCUAAUAGCCCUACUUCUUUUUUGCUCUAACAUCACUGCAAUGAACAUUGCAGAACAGUCUCACGUUUUCACAAGUCUUAGUAAAGUUAAUAAAUGCCUGCAAAACACUUCAGCCUAGAACUUCAAAUAACACCAGUCAGAGGAGCUUACUGAAAUCCAGUGGAAUUAUUUGCAACAGAUUUGGCUUGCACAGUGUUCUUGUUCCUUAAAGCCAGUUUUCAUAUAAACAAAUGCAACAAAUAUGAAUUAUAUUCAGAAUAAUGUGAAUAGGAAUAGUAGUUUUAUGUUGAAUAAUAAUUGGGUAUGUAGUUAGAAAAUAUUAUAGGUUCGACUAUCUCAUGUGCAUAAAAGUUUGAGUACACAUUUCAACAAUGUGAUGACUAUAAUUGGUAUUGUUUCUAUGGUUCAUAGAACUAUACUCAUACUAUGCGGCAACUGUCUUGGAGCUUCUGUGUCAGAAUUGUUCCAUAUAGCAGCUUGCCCAUAAACAUCCUCUAAUCAGAAGUUCGAUCUGUUCUCUUCUUUAUAAUUCCAAAACUACUUUGUAGAGCAAUUAAUUUGGCUAAAUGUCUUGUGAGCUAUAUUUAAAAGUUCAACAUACGUUCAAAUGUUAGAACAAAUAUACUGCAAGUUGCCAUGGCAUCUGCAUUUGUAAACAAGGUACUGGAGAGAGGCCUUUGAUUCUUGUGGAGGGGGUGGAAUACAGGAGAAGGUGAAGAGAACAUGCAACUUGGGACAUAUUCUUUAUUCUUUAUCUUUUGCAGAUUUAAAACUUCUGAUAUGAUAACUCAAGAAUUAGAACAAUUUCACAGUUGAAGUGUAGAUUUGUACAUGAAAGUCUCCUAAAGAUUUAGUGUCCAACUUUUUAUUAUCUAACAUCCAUUCCAAUAGCAGGCCACUUAAAAAUGGCUACCACUUAAAUCAAUUAGAACCAUUAGUUAAGUAUAUCUAUCUAUCUAUCUAUCUUUCUAUAUAUGUAUAUACAUAUAUAUAAAAAUUUCCAUUAGGACUUAAAUGAAGGUUUAUUGUCACAAACACUGCAAUUCUUAAUAAUUUUUUUUUAAAUCAAGAUGAUAAAGACCAGGAUAUUUGAUUUCUGUCAAAUAAAUUAAAAUUCCAUUUGUUAACAAACUACAAACAAAAUUGACUUUCCAAAUGGGAAAGCAAAAGGAAUUAAUCUGCUCAUUCACUUCUUAUUCAUGGACUGAGAGAAACUGGUAAAAAACAGACUGAGCUAACAACUAAUUAGUGUAUCUUCAUCUUUCUUUAUGAAGAAAGUCUCAGUUCACAAAUGUAUGCAGAAAGCCCUCACUCAGGAAUGGGGUCCAACAACUUAGAAAAUGACACAACAGUUCUGUAGGAAUAUUUUCAUUUUUCUUAAGAGAUACCUAAAGCAUUGGAAAGUGUAUAAUGCCUUUUCUCUUCUACCUUUUACCCUUCCUUGAAAUGAUGGACCUGUGAACUCAUCAGAGACAACUGGCACUGGCUGUCAGACACCAGUCACUGCACACAGACCUCAGAAGUAGGGACAAAGAUGCUGGAUUUUUAGGUAGGAAAGAAAUCUUUGCAAAAUCUUCCUCUUUGAGACUGUUGUCAGCUAGCCUAAUCUUACUAUCUUUUCAGCAUCCCCAUGUAUAUCUGGAAUUAUUUACAUUUAAAAAAAUAUAUAAAACUGUGAGAAUAUAGCUGAGAAGGCAUUAAACCCCUUUUUAACAUUUCCUACAUUUAUUUUCUGUCAAUAUGAUAGAUCUUUUUCACCCACUGCGACAUUAGCAGGCUGAGAAGUACAUAGGUGAGAAUGAAAAUACCUUGUGGGAUUUAUGGGCUUGGGCAGCACAAAGGGUCACAAUGCUGUUCUGUGUUAAGAUUCUACGCAGAAAACAAUUCAGAUUUCAGCUUAAUGUCCAGUCCUUUACAAUAGUCAGCCAAACCUGGCCUUUAAGGCUCCUCCACCCCUAAUUACUGCCUGAAGCAGGCUCACAACAGAAUAACUAUUUAGCCCAGAGGUGAAAAUUUCCACUUUAAAAAGCAGAGGUGGAAAAUGCGAACCUUCCCUCUGGAUCAAAUGUUCAUAUGCUCAUGAAAAUAUCAGGCGUUUUCCUCUUGCUUGGCUUACAAAUAUUCUCACACACACACACAGAAGAAUGGGUACUUUGCACAACUGCAUUGCAGGGAGCCUGGGGGCAGCAGUGCCAUGCAUUCAAGAAUUACCUAGGGGCUCUUCAAGACAGGCCACUGGAGGCGGAGGUGACACAAUGAAUUCGGAGAAAGUGGAGGAGUGCUGGCUGAAUUGAUUCUUAUGCAUUCUCUGUAUUUAGUAAUACCCACAUAUUGGCAUUGACAUUAAUUUCAGAGGCAGAGGGGUUGAGAUGCAACGUGGCAUUCAUAAUGAAUGCUGAUAGAAGCAAAAUGGGAACAAUACUAAAUAGGACAUAAUUAAAUAUUAUUAUAAGCUAAAGUUAAACUUGCUUAAGAGAAAUAAUUCUCCUAAGAACUAUAUUUCAAAGACUGACAUUUCAUUGCUUGGCACAUUCCAGCAGUGACUAAGAACUGAACAAAGACAAUGUCUAAGAAGACCAGGCAGCAGAAUAUUACACUUCAAUUUUUAAUGUGUGAAUGAAUGUAGUGUGCACUUAAGGGAGGAGGUGGUAAAGCAAGAAGGUUCUAUGCAAAAUUAUGUCAAACACUCUCUGUCUCUGAACUAUCAGAGCCCUUCUCAGCUACUCUUGGUUCCUUCUGCAGAAAACAAAGGUAUGUGCAGCUGAGUGUAGGAAGGUCUGGCUUAUUUCUCUGGGGUACUAACUCUACACAAAACAGAGAUCUUCACCUAAGAAAUGACAGCUCAUAACACAAAUAACCUGAGCAAUCUAGACCUCAUUGUCAUUUUUAAUUUGUUUAUGAGCUCAUAAAAGACUCUCAAGUUUAAUCUUUCAGUCAUAGUGAAGGUUGGGAGACUGAAAGUUGGGGGGGAUGACACUCACCAUGCUAAAUAUAGCAAAACAAAUAGAAUUUUGCUCUCCUGUAGGGAAUAGAAUAUUAUGAAAACCCCUGCAAAGACUACACUUUUUCCAUAGGGUAUGCAAUACAACAGUUUCUGGAGCAAAAACAUGUCUGUAGAAGUACUGCUAUGCAAGUAGCAAGCCUUUCAGUGACUAACCUCAACCCUAGAGCUGAUUUGCUGCCCAGCACUAGAGCUUCCAUUGCCUGUCAUCAUUCACAUGCAAUCCUUCUGAAUUAGAAAAUCUUCCUUCACUUUCCCCAUAUCUCUUACUACUGUAAACUCUAUCACCACCUAAUACCUCAAACUCACUCUGACCAAUGCAUUUUUUCCCUUUUGUGAUCUGCCCAUGUUAUAACCUCUGGUUACACCUUCCCAGGUGUGGCCAGUUGGUCUUUCAGACAUCCUUAUUGACAUGAGGUUUCAACUAGCAGCUGUUUCUCAAGGUGGUGUGCCUAUUAAUUUGAUAUUCUCAAAAUAUCAUUCAAGACAAUCUUGGUUCCCUCCAUAAAGAUGUUCUAUGUUUUAGUAUGGGUAGUAUUUAGUAGGGUAUUCUUAACUUAGUCCAACUUGAUGUAGCUGCUCGUGGUUCAGGUUGGACAUAGCUGCUUCUAGGAAAACAACUAAUAAGAAGCCUCAUUCAGGGAUUCAUAGAGUGGAAAAGCUGCUUAUAUAACAUCAUUUCUUUUUUAUAUGCCUUUUUGGUGUUGUAUGCAACACUUUGCUAUGCUGUGAAGUUCUGUUGUGAUUGUUUAACUUCUUAGGCUUGCUGUUCUCAUGCAUAUUCAGUGUUCUGUGCAUUAACCAAAUUUAUUGUGAAUUAAAUGUCAGCAUAAAGAAUUUACCAUGAAAUAGUGGUGUCCUGGUACCUGGACAAUCCUCCACUGGCAUGGUAUUGAGCUCUUUCUUCACCUUACAUCUUCAUUUCAGUCACCCUUAUGCUCUUCAAAAUAAAAAUACAUAUAGUGAAAACCAGUCUUAAUAUACAGAAGGAAGAAUUCACUUUCCAUGUUCAUGAAAAAAUGAGAAAGACACCUCCAGACACCUUUCUCACCCACCCUUCUGAAACAGCCUUUGCAGGAAUCAAUGGUCCCUACAUAGCUGAUGCAUGCUUUGAAUGGCAGAAGUACAAUGUCUUAUAAAGUUAUAAUCAGGCUAGAUCUCACUAAUCUGAGUUAUAGCUCAACUGUGAAGGCUCUUUUGAGUAAAAUCAUUUCUUUAUUAAUGAGAUUCAGCUCAAUCUCACUGAUAAAAAUUACUUUAAAAGAUGUCCCUUUGCUGCUAUUCAAAUGAAUGGGAGAAAACGGUGGGUGUUUUAAGAGCUGUCUUCCUGUCAUAUCAGGAUGGAUCUCAUUAGUGAAAGGAAUGAUUUUAGCAGGAAAAAGCUUCUACAAUGAGAAAACAUAACCUACCAUACAUGAGCAAAAUCCAAGUCAAUUAGGCUGGGGGAAAAAAAAAAAAAAAAAAAAAAACCCUCUUAAAAAAUCUCACUGCUCCCAUUCAUUUUAUUAACAGGAGAAAGGACAUUUCCCUCAAAAAAAAAAAAAAAAAAUUCUUUUUUUAAUUUGAACUGGACUGGAUCUCAUUAAUACAGAAACUAUUUUACUUAAAAGAGCUUCCAGUAUUAGCCUACUGUUCAACCUUGAUUAACAAAAUCAAACAUGAUUGUGGGGGGUGGGAAUAACUCAAAAGUGUUGAAUCUAUUUCGAAAGCAUUACAUUUGAUUUAAGAAAUGGGCAUAAGGGGAUUAUAAUCCACAACUACUUUUAAAGUGACUGAAAUACAUUUGCCCAGGUAAGUAUAUAAAUCUGUGCUUGGAACCUCAGCUAGAUAUGGUCAAUUGUAAAUGACUGACAGAAAUGCAAUUCAAACAGUUUACAAGUACAGAGAGACUCCCUUCAUGAUUCUAAAGUAACCUCUCUGUAAUUACUCCUUAUCCUUUCCCUCAAAAGAUCAUCAGGGAGGGCUAAAAGAGCCAUAAACUCCUAAGCCAUUCUUGUUUCUUCUAACCAUCAAAAGAAAGACAGGUUCAGCUGGGUUGUGGGCCAGAGUCAAUGUGCAAAUCUGUGUUUUUUCUCUUUCAUUGUCACCCUUUAUUAGCUUGGGAGAUCCUUAACAGCUAGAAUCUUGUUAUCAGAUCUCUCAAUUAGUAAUGUUCUGAAUGAAAAAAGACAUUGUAGAUAACGGAGGUUUGUUUGAUGAGGGAGCAGACAUGGUGAACUUCAUCUGUAAAAUGCUCACAGAAAAGAGGACAUGAGGUGAGACUGCUGCAGGUACAAGAUGUAGAGACAUAGCUGGGUGAAGAAGAAUGAAGAAGAUAUCACACUCAGUUCAUGAAACUGUACAUGCCUGGUAAUAUGUGUGCAAACAGAGUAUGGAUGUCUUUCAUGGACUGUGAUUGUUGUUGCAGGAUCAAAGAGACAACAGUGGUGACUGUAAGAACACAACUAUACACUUGUACAACAACUCUGGUUUCCUAUUACAGAGUUUUUAUAAUGUUCUGAUGCCUUAAUUCUUUUUUUUUUUUUCCAUUAUGUUCUUCCAAUAUAGCCAGCUGCAGAUACUUAUCCAAGUUGCAAACACAAACCUAGACAGAUUCAGCUUUUGAUAUAGAGAGCCCUAAAUUUUCAGUCAAUGUGAAGCUGUGCACACCUGUGCCUAUAGAUGCCCUUUGCUAUGUUCUGGUGCUGGAACUUCUGCAAUGAUUUCUCAAUGAUUCACUGCAGCUGCUGCUGCAGUGAGCUGAGAAUUCUGUAAGUAGGUGUGCCUUCACCACAACCAGCUCUGGGGGAGAACAUUUGUUUUUCCAUUAUUACCUUGUAACAAAAAUUAAUUUAAUGGACACAUUAUUUUUCAGAGUGAUUAAAAUAUCUCCUGAUCAGCAAAUUACUGAACAUGUUUGAAAUUUAGUGAAAACGUAUUGCAAGGAAAGAAAGUAUUAAAAACAGAUUAUUGAGUAAGGCAUUCAAAAAACUGGUAGAUUCCUUGGCAUAUCCACAGACUGGAAUUUGAGGACUCUGUAAAUCCCUGAGCAGUGCUUCUAUGAAUCACAAAUGACCUCUGUAACAUACUUGACAACAUUUAGCAUAGAAACACAAAUGAAAGCACACACUAACACACAUACUCACAUACAUAUGAAAAUCCACAGUGACCUUUUACUUUUGAUAGGACACUUAGAGUGGGAUUGCCUCCUGUCAUUCAUGUUUUUAUAUACUCAGAACAUGUAAAAACAAAACUGUCCAUGUCAAAAAAUGCAGGUCCUGGCCUUUGUCUUUCCAGAGAAGAAAGAUGCUCUGAGGACUAAAUGCAGCUUUCUGAAAUAAAAGUACUGUAGGUGUAUCUAAUAUUAAGUGUUCAGCUUGAAGCUAGCAGUUAAGCAUGUCACAUUAUUACAUGCAUAACAUGAUGAGCUGAAAUGACAAAGUGCCAGUUUAACAGCAAAAUUAAAGCAACAAACACUGAUUUCUUCAAGGACAGCAGCUAUCAUCUUGCAUGGUGGCUUUGAGAAGUGAAAAUAUGUGGUACACAGCAAAAAAUGGUAUACCAGUGAAAAUAUGUAAGAACUGAGUUCUUUCUCUUUUGUUUUCAAGUUCUACCAGAGCAAGCGAACUCUCUGAAAUACCAAAUCAUGGUUAAGGAACACACCAAAUUAUAAAUACUGCAGCAAGUAUUCAGUGUAUGAAAGAAUGAUGAAGCCUGUUUAAAAAAAAAAAAAAAAAAAGUUAGUUUCAGCCCCUUUCACUGAAAUUAAAUUUAACACAUGCUUAAUUUGGUUCCAGCUAUUUAGUGCACCCCAAUCAGAUAUGUUUGAUACAUUAGAAAAUGAUCAUUUGGUGAAUCUUGUCAACCUUCCUUUCCAUGAAGGAUUUUGGAUCUUUUUCACAGUCAGACUCCACUAAGUUUAUCAAGAUUUUAAAAGAUACACUUUAAUUAGGUUAGUAUAUUAUUUAUGUUACAACUUUCCCUUGGUUAUGCUUAACAGAGCAUCUGUUUUCAAUAUUGCCAAAUACAAAAGAAGAAAUCAACAGAACAUAAGUUCUUCAUAUAAAAAUAUGCUACUUGAAUGAAAAUUAAAUUUUAAAUUCAGAAUUUGCAGUUCACUAUCAGAUUAUUAAAGAAAAAGUAUUUUCCAAGAGAUAUUUUGGAAGUAGAACUCUUCAUUUUCUAUUUUCAGGAUGUUUUAAGUAAUUUUGCUGCUGAAUUUAUCUAUUUAUUUAUUUAUUUAUUUAUUUAUUUAUUGAUCAAUUUUCUGCAUUAAAUCUUUAUUUUAGUUAUCAUCCUAAUGUAAAUAUUUAUUUAUUUAUUUAUUACUUUUGAAAUAUCAGUAGAUCAGUGUCUCUAAACAAUAAAUGCCACAAAGUAAAUAUAUUCUUACUAAAAACUGAAAAAUAUCCCAGAUCUCACAAUGAAAGUUUAGUUACAUAUUGGGAUCACUUGUAUUAUCACAUAUACAAAUGUUAAUUGAUGCAAACAGACAAAAAAAAAAAAAACAACAUAAACUUUGUUUAGUACAUAGUUGUAGCAAUCAGUGCUGAUUCUCAAUGUGAAUCUCAAGCAUCGUACUCCUAUCAUUUUUCCUUUUGGACCUCAUCUUGUGGCUGUGAGACAUAAAACCAGGAAAAGGUUUGCUUUCCAGAAGAAGAUGGAGAAUGCUCCAGGGCCAUUUAAACCUGUUUAAAAAGACAGACAUCAACUUCUCAGGCACUGUCUAUACAUAUACGUUACUUGGGUAGGUAACUGAAUAACUGUUUAUAUCAAAUAAUGUAUUAUAUGGUAGAUCUGGCACUUAAUAGGUCAAAUAGAAAUGAGAAAACACUGCUGUAUUUUACUCAUUAGAGUUUUAUUUUUCUAACAGCAAACUUCAAAAAAACAAAUGCCAUUCUGCAUCUUGUGUUUCUAAAACAACUAAAGUGCACUGUAACCCAAGUUCAACCAGAAGAUCAAGUGGACAUCCCACACACUACUUUACUGAUCUCAAAAUAAUGCCCUUCCAGAUGCCAAACUGCUCUGCAUUGCCUUGUGGUCCCCUAGGUCACCAGAGUCCCAUUUAAUUUCAUACAUCCCUGAUUUAAAACACUGGAAAACUGACACGUCUGGUUUCUGGCAAAUAACAGGGAAAAGAAAGUUCCAACCUCAAGCAUUUCUUUAGAAAAUACUAUGCCAAAGAUCAGUCUCUGACGGUAGAAGUACUGGAGCUUUCUGGUUUUUUUUCCUCAGCAGAGAAAUUUUGCUGUGUAGCAGAAUUCUGCACUCUGCAGUAAGUCACGGGCUGCUGUGUUCACUGAGGCUUUAUUAAUAUUGGUAUUAAGUUCCUUCUACACUUUGUCUAUGUGAGGGUUCCACAGUUUGGGGCACUUUACAUACAUUUACUGCAGAACCAAGCUACCCAAGAGAUAAACACAGGGUACAGUCGCACAUUGAUUGGUACUUUCUAGCAGAGUACCAUCUUUUAAGUUGAGGAAAUGUUCCUCCACCAUUCUUUCCUAAGGCAGUUGCCUCCUGCUCUUUUUUUUUUUUUUUUUUCUGAUCAGAGGACAGUCAUGAACAGCUGCAGUCUUUAUAGAGGCUUCUCCAUAAUGUGACAUCCAUCUUCAAAAAGGGCCAGAAUGAUGAUCCUGGUAGCUACAGACUUAUUAGUCUCAACUCAGUGCUGGAGAAGAUUAUGGAAGGAAUAAUCUCAGGAACCAUCAUGGACCAAUUAAAGGUCAAUCAAGGGAUCAGGCCCAGUCAGCAUGGGUUUAUGAACAGUAGAUCCUGUUUGACAAAUCUGAUUUCAUUCUAUGACAAGGUGACCCACUUGGUGGAUGAAGGUAAGGCUGUCAAUGUGGUCUACAUGGACUUCAGUAAAGCCUUUGACACUGUCCCCCACAACAUUCUUGUGGAGAAGCUGGCUGCCCAUGGUUUGGAUGGGUGUAUUCUCCGCUGUGUGAAAUGCUGGGUGGCCAGGCCCAGAGAGUUGUGGUCAAUGGAGUUAAAUCCAGUUGGCGGCCAGUCACAAGCAGCAUCCCCCAGGUCUUGGUACUGGGGCUGCUUCUAUUUAAUGUCUUUAUUAAUGAUCCUGAUGAGGAGAUUGAGUGCACCCUCCGUAAAUUUGCAGAUGACACCAAGCUGGGAGGGAGUGUUGAUCUGCCUGAGGGGAAAAGAGCACUACAGAGGGACCUGGAUAGACUGGAUCGAUGGGCUAAGGUAGACUGUAUGAGUUUCAAUAAGGCCAAGUGUCUGGUUCCGCAUUUUGGUCGCAGCAACCCCGGGCAAUCCUACCGGCUUGGGGAGGAGUGACUGGAAAGCUGCCUGAUGGAAAGGGACCUUGGUGUAUUGAUGGACAGUCAGCUGAAUAUGAGCCAGCAGUGUGCCCAGGUGACCAAGAAGGCCAAUGGCAUCCUGGCUUGUAUCAGGAGUGAUGUAGUGUGCAGGACUAAGGAAGUAAUCCUGCCUCUGUACUCAGCACUGGUGAGGCCUCACCUCGAGUACUGUGUUCAGUUUUGGACACCUCAGUACAGAAAGGACACUGAGGUGCUGGAGCAGGUCCAAAGAAGGGCAACAAGGCUUGUGAAGGGCUUGGGGAAUAUGCCCUACGAGAAGAGACUGAAGGAACUGGGUCUGUUUAGUUUGGGGAAAAGGAGGCUGAGGGGAGACCUUAUUGCUCUCCUCCAAUAUCUGAAAGGUGCUUACAGUGAGAGUGGAGUUGGUCUCUUCUCACUGGUGACAGGUGACAGGACGAGGGGAAAUGAAUGGCCUUAGGUUGUGCCAGGGGAAGUUUAGUUUGGAUAUCAGGAAAAACCUCUUUACAGAAAGGGUUGUUAAGCACUGGAAUAGGCUCCCCAGGAAGGUGGUUGAGUCACCAUCCCUGGAUGUAUUUAAAAACCAUUUGGUUGUGGUGCUCAGGGACAUGAUUUAGCAGAGGGAUGUUAGAGUUAGGGUAGUAUGAUUAGGUUGUGGUUGGACUUGAUGAUCUUUACGGUCUUUUCCACCCUGAACAAUUCUGAUUCUAUGAUUCUCAGCCUAGGAUCUUCUCAAACAUUUCAUACCUUAGGACAGGAGUUGCUUUCCUUCCCUAAAGGGUUGUGUUGAAUACUUCAAUAGGUUUCAGCCAUGCUGGAAAAGGUGUGCCAGAGUAGUUUGUUCAAGAUAUAGGCAUUGGUGCCAGGUCUGGAGCUUCCAGUAUUGCCCACCUCUCCAUUGUCCUCCAAGGGAUCCCUCCAGAGGGAAAAGGAGAGUACAGAAAUGUUCAGUGGUUAGUAAGUUGAUACCAGAGCUACUGCCAGAGGAACCAUAAGGAGACAAAUUGUCAUUAUACCCUCACUGUCUCAUAGCUCCAUUUUUAUCUUCCCAGAUGGGUUGCUACAUAUUCCGCUAGUUUUCAAAUUCUAGGAUCUCCGUAGAUACAGCUUCAUACACAUCUUUCUGCAGUAGUCUCUUUUUUAUGUAAUCAGGACAAUAGUAACUGCAGUGAUGUUCAUGUAGAAAAGGCUACCUCUUUUCUAAGUGGAACUGAAAAAUGUAAGUUGGUUGUGACUGCUAUGCAAACCAACAAUAGCUCAUGCAAGGCUAGUAAAUCAGAAACAUUUCAUUUCAGUCUUGUUUUAUGUUAUAAAAAAAAUUACUCCUGGACUGUUAUAGCUGUCUGACCCCUGUUGGGUCAACUUCCGCAGGUGCUUCAUAAACAAUUCCCUAAAGAUAGGGAAGAUCCAACCACUUCUAUCUCUCUUUCAAUGUAAAUAAGUAGGGAUAUACACUUCUUCCUAUCCUUACUCAUUGGCAGUGUCUGGAGUCUCCAUUAAAUAUGUCUUCAUUUCCAUAUGAAUCAUAUGCAAAAUUGCAUGCAGUACUGAAAAAUUAAACUGUCACAGAAAAAAAAAAAAAAAGACAAAAUUGUGAGUGAGGAGAAAAAAAGCAGGACUAUAAACUGAGAGUCUCUGGUUUCUAAUAUGGUGACAGAAUGGCAACUCCCUCUCCCCUACUCAGGAUAUGAAAGCAUUGCUUCCAUUCGAGUAUUCAGCACAUAUAGCAAUCCAAAUGAUGAAACUGACCAGGCAAAUUCUGCCCUCACCAAGACCAACGUAAAUCUGGGUUUGUGUCCUGGAAGGGACUGCUGUGAGUUCGUGCUGGGAAAACUAAGAAUAGAGUUUGAACCCCUGCCAUAAGAAGCAGUGAAAAUCCAAACAGAACAGUCUUAAAAUGUCAGAGUUCAUUUCUGGUCUUAAUAGCUGUGUACAACACCCCUGCUACUUCGCAAAAGGAGCUGGAAGGUCACUGUCAUUUCUGGUCUUGAAGACAUGUGUCACUCAUUUCCAGCCUCUUCUGAUAUUUGACAGUGUGGACCUGCCUGGAGCACAGCAAGAAUAAAGGAUGACACAGCUCACUGAGCAAAAUUUCAUUAACAAUUUUCCUCCUACUCAAAUAAGAGCUCACCUCUGACCCCAAAAUGUAGAGUUUGCUACAGAAGAGGCACUUGCGAGGGCUUCAGUUAAUACAAUCCAGUCUUUGACAAAGUCAAAGUCACCCAUUCUGCCUUUGAAAGACUGUGUGAAUUGAUAACAAUCUUUGAUAGAAGGCUGAAUAAUCUAUAAGAGAGAGAUGGGCCACUUCAGAAGGCCAUGUUUUUUAUUGUCUAGUCUGAUCUGAGUUUGCUGUACCAAGUGAGUCCAAAAUCACUAAUUCUCUGUGAAAACCACAGCAUAUCUAAGAGCUAUAUUUGUAUAUUCAUACUUCUGUGAUAAUUAAUAGUUUACUCUUAAUUUGAAAAUCAGAUUGUAUAUUUCAUUUCAAUGAAAUAAGAAAUUGCAUUAAAAAAUUAAUUGCUUGCUUGCCCAGAAUUCUCUGUGUUGCAGUAAGACACCAAUAGUCUUCCUCUUACUGAAGCAUGAUCUCUUCAAAUGAUAGAGUUGGUACCUGAAUUAGAAUGAUAUAAAUCUUGCCUUAUGACAAACAAAGUUGCUUGGAUCAAGCAGAUGCUAGAUUCACCACGAUGUCUGAGAUGUCUUCUAAUUUAAACACAGCUAUAUAGGUCUAUAUAUAGCCAAAUGCAUUCUGUAUCAUUGUAACACAUGAUUUGAUAAUGGAGGCUUUACGUUCUUAUUGAAGGUAUAUCAUGGAGUUUCAUUCAGGUAAGAUCAUACCGGUUGCCCAUAAAUGUAAAAACUAGCUCCCAACCAUCACAUUCCCACAUUUUGGAAAAUUUUAGAUUUGAAGUUUGAGGAUUAAACUAGCUUCUAAUAUAAAAUGCCACUAGUUGCAUCAGUAAUGUCUUCAAUUCCACCUGCCCAGACACAAACUGCAAGUAUCUUAAAAAAAUGGUGUCACAGAGAAUUUUAUAUCAGUAGGCACUGCUCUUCUGUGCAGAAAAACAUGUCUGGAAGAGUGUCCCAUCACAGUAACUUAAGAAUUUCCACUCUGGUCUGCAAAAAUGUUAAAGUUUAGGUUUAUUACAUAGAAAAAUUUGGGGCAGGAAGGAGUGAUAUGAACAAAUUGCAGAGACAAUGAAAAGCUUAAUAUUAUUUGCAUGUUUGAUUUAAAAUUAAAUUAGAAUUUAAAGACAGUUGUGGUGUAGGAGUGCGAUCAUUUUAAGUAAGCAGUGUCUUAUGUUGUUUUCAUUUAUAAUGUUCACAGUGAGUGGAGAGAGCUGUGACUGAUUAAUAAUCAAUAUAUGCAAGAUCAUAUAAAUAAAGUCAAAUAUUAA